CAGAGGUCCCGAGCGUUGUUCGGAUUCACUGGGCGUAAAGGGUGCGUAGGUGGUGGGGUAAGUCGGAUGUGAAAUCUCCGGGCUCAACCCGGAAAAUGCAUUGGAAACUACCUUGCUAGAGGUUUUGAGGGGGGACUGGAAUUCUCGGUGUAGCAGUGAAAUGCGUAGAUAUCGAGAGGAACACCGGUGGCGAAGGCGAGUCCCUGGAAAACACCUGACACUGAGGCACGAAAGCUAGGGGAGCAAACAGGAUUAGAUACCUUGGUAGUCCUAGCCCUAAACGGUGCUUGCUUGCUGUAAGUGGAAUCGACCCCACUUGUGGCGGAGCUAACGCGUUAAGCAAGCCGCCUGGGAAGUACGGUCGCAAGAUUA
RNAcentral lists this ribosomal RNA (372 nucleotides) under uncultured organism. RNAcentral's name for it is "bacterial SSU rRNA". It matches the Rfam family "Bacterial small subunit ribosomal RNA", at positions 526 to 896 of the family's 1533-position model. The record is from RNAcentral.